CGUGGAGUGAUUUGUCUGGUUUAUUCCGAUAACGAGCGAGACUCUAGCCUACUAAAUAGGACGCUCAUUUUUUAAGGUGAUGUGGUACUUCCUAGAGGAAUUUUCGGUGUUUAACCGCAUGAAAUUGAGCAAUAACAGGUCUGUGAUGCCCUUAGAUGUCCGGGGCUGCACGCGCGCUACACUGGUAAAGUCAGCGUGCAUUUCCUCUCUCGAAAGGGAUUGGUAAACCCUUGAACGUUUACCGUGAUUGGGAUCGGAAAUUGCAAUUAUUUUCUGUGAACGAGGAAUUCCAAGUAAAUGUGAGUCAUCAACUCGCGUUGAAUACGUCCCUGCCCUUUGUAC
Molecule: ribosomal RNA, 342 nt
Filed under: Nematoda environmental sample
Lineage: Eukaryota; Metazoa; Nematoda
Description: SSU rRNA
Rfam family: Eukaryotic small subunit ribosomal RNA
Source: RNAcentral